RNAcentral lists this ribosomal RNA (253 nucleotides) under uncultured bacterium. RNAcentral describes it as "partial 16S ribosomal RNA". It matches the Rfam family "Bacterial small subunit ribosomal RNA", at positions 524 to 776 of the family's 1533-position model. The record is from RNAcentral.
UACGUAGGCAGCAAGCGUUGUUCGGAGUUACUGGGCGUAAAGAGUGCGUAGGCGGUGUCGAAAGUUUGGCGUGAAAUCUCCUGGCUCAACUGGGAGCUUGCAGGCGAAACUGCCGUGCUGGAGUGUGGGAGAGGUGCGUGGAAUUCCUGGUGUAGCGGUGAAAUGCGUAGAUAUCAGGAGGAACACCUGUGGCGAAAGCGGCGCACUGGACCACAACUGACGCUGAGGCGCGAAAGCUAGGGGAGCAAACAGG